UUUGGCAGGGAACCAUAUUUCCCAGCAUGCAUUGAAAAGGAAGUUAAACCUACUUGACGUGAUCCGCAUGCGCGAUGUAGGUGGUGGUUACGCCCACCUGAAUGCCAGUAUUUCGUUGUACUUUUAUAUACGUGAGUGGCGGCUGGUGUAGGUUUUUGUCUGCUAAAAACCGUACUUUUUUUUUCUUCUUCUCAAAAACAAACCGGAAACCUAUGCUAAGAUCAUUACACUUUUGGAUUCUAAUAGUGGCUAUCCAAAUAGCAAUAUCGUAGAAUAUAUUUAAAAGCGGGUCUAUUGAAAACAGAUCUCUUCGUCAGUAAUCGUGGGCUGGAUUACGCUGUAAAAGGCUAUAGCUGCAGCCUUAGACGGAUUUACCUAGAAGCAACCUUUGUGACCUGUGUGCUACUUCAUGCAGAAAGGAACCUAAAGGAAACAUUUGCUUUAAAAUGCUUUUAAAGGAUUUGCGUUUGUUCUUUCAAGAAAUCUGAUUGGAUUAAUUCCUAUAUUUUAUUAUCCUGCCCAUGCGAAAUGUCCGCAUUUCCAAAUAGUUGAUCAUUGAAGAAGAAUUGUAUCCUUCUCUGCCUGAUAGAUAAUUAAUCCAAGAAACAGCUCUUGCUGACAUAUUCUUGGUCUUGACAAUCUUUGUAGCAUAUCCAUGUGAUAAAUCUUUUUUAGCUAAUGGGCGGAAGGAAUAACCUUGAGGAAAUGGCAGAAGAGCCACAAUCAAUACAAAGGUCAAAUAAAAGAGAGCUGCAUGCAGGGCAGAAGUUCUCUAACCCGAAUAAGCAUCUCAGACAAGACCCACCUAGUUCUCACGAAGAUAAAGGAAAGGAGGGGGAAAGCAUAUCCAGACUUGCAAGAUUCUGUUUAUGUAACCUUAUAAUAAAAAUAUAUUAGCAUGUAUGAUUUUGGUUUCCUAGCCUGGUCUAUUGUAAAGGGCUGACACAUUUCCAUAUUGCUGAGAAUUCCCUUGCCAGGGUUCUCAUAACAUUCUUGUCUUACUACUUCAGUCUCCUUCCUCUUUAUGCUGAUGCUGAUGUAAGUCUCCUUUUGUUUUAGUGUGUUUUUGAAUUCCCCUGUAGUCGUUUAUGAUCAGUAUUUUACGGCUUAAUAGUAUUAUGCAAUCUCAGCUAGUUAGAUUGGAUUCAGACACAUAAUUUCAAUGCCUCAACCCCACCCACCCCGAUUUAAAAAUGUUUCAUAGAUGCUGUCAAAAGUUAUGAGAUACAGUAUCAAAAUCUGGGUUAAAUAGUUCAAUGAUUAUCAGUAAUAAAUUGAUUUUUAAACCUACUUUCCAAAUGCAGCAAGAGCUUCGGGAAUUAAAAUAUGAAAACAAAAUAAACUAGAGGAUUGAAGUCUGAAUAAGAAUGAAUAAGGUCCUAAUAAAUGGUUUUUGAUCAUAAUAUAUCAUCAUUACAAUUUUAACAUUAUUUUGUAUUGCUGGAUUUACUGAGGUUCUUAUGUUUACAUGUCUUUGUAAUGUAAACUAUGUAAUAUAAGAAAGUUAUUUACAGCCUUCCUCUUCUUGUUAGCUGGUUAUAGAAAUUGAAGUAAUUUAGUCACUUUUGGGGGGGAUCAGGGUGACUGAUAAAAAUAAACUAAACAGCUUGAUCUUCUCAAAUAACCUUCGGGCUGAGUUUAUUACUCAAAUAUGGUAGGAGGCAAAUAAGCUAUCACCAGAAAACGAUCAUGUUAGAUAUACCAUAGAUUUUAAUAACAUACAUGAUAUUGAGACUAGAAUGGUUACAUUUAAAAUAGAGACAGUGAAAAUACUUGUUUAUUGUUAUAGUCAAGUGGAUCUUCUCAUUUAAUAACAUUAUUUCAGAAAAGUUUUGGUAACAUGACUUACAUUGUACUUUUCUGGCUGUUUCAAAACUAUUAAGGCUGGAGUCUCCAGCUACUACUAGCAAGAGAAAGAUGUUGUUAAGGUAAUUUUUAAAGGUAUCAUAGUAAUUGAAAAUAUUUCUGAUAAACAGAAAAUUAAGUGAAGAAGUAAAUGGAAACUGCUUGGGAUUUUAGGUCCUUGACUGAUGACUAAAAUUCAGCCCAAAAUUUCUGUUGCUAAGUGAGACAGUUGUUAAGUGAGUUUUGCCUCAUUUUGUGACUUUUCUUGCCACAGCUGUUAAGUAAACCAAUGCAGUUGUUAAAUUAGUAAUGUGGAUAUUAACUGAAUCUGGUUUCUCGUUGACUUUGCUUGUCAGAAGGUUGCAAAAGAUGAUCACAUGACUCUGGGACACUGCAACCAUCAUAAAUAUGAGUCAGUUGCCCAGCAUCUGACCACGAGGAUGCUGCAAUGGUCGUCAGUGUGAAAAGGGUCAUAAGUCAUUUUUUUCAGUGCCAUUGUAAUUUCAAAUGGUCAGUAAAUAAACUGUUGAGGACUGCCUAUACUUGAAAAAGAUGUGGCAAUGUCAGUUUCACUUUUACCUUUCACCCAAUUUGAACUUUGUAAUGCAUAUUUAGUUUAAGUUUUUUUUCUUUAAUAUACUGAACAAAGAAAAUGAAAUCACCAUGUUAUAUCAGACUUUAAAACCACAUGCAUUAAAGAUGCUAAAAUUAUAUAAUAGUUUUAAUUUUGGUUUAAUGGUGACUCAAGCUAUUAUGAUUUAUAAGCUAUGGUUUCUACCUCUGGAUAUUAUGCAAAUGUACCCAGUUAAGGUAUAUUUAGUAAAAACAUAUGUUAAUUAAUGUAUGGUUUACUACAAAAUACAAACCAUCUAAGCAAUGACUGAGUUAAUCACAAUUUGUUAAAUAAGCAAGAAUGAUUGUUGGUGUAUAGAUUGGGCAUAGCUGCUGAAAUCUCAUAAAUAUUUAUGGGACAUUUUGAUUCAGCAAAGAAUUAGCUGGCAGAAUAAAGGCUCAUAUUUCAAUGCGAAUUUAAUUUAAAAUGUUAAAAUAUUUGUCUUUUAUUUCAGCCUUUCAGCCUAACUGUUUAAAUCAAUAACUAUGGCUACAGAAUAAUGAGAUUUGUUUGUGGCUUAAUAUGGUCUAUGUAUAGUACCUUGCUAAUUGGGUCUUGUUCAGAAAAUCAUUAUAAAAAUCAUGGGUUAGCACCACACAUAUAGCCAACCAAAGGGCAAUGUGCAUAUUAUUAACUGUCAACUAGAAUAAUGUAUGAAUAUAUACAUAAAGUAAUGUAAACCUAUCCAAAAUAAUUUAAAAUAAAAUAGUUUAGUGUGGACAUAAAUGUAGACAAUUUAGAAUGAUAUUUUUAACAAUAGAAAAUAUUUUAGAUUGUAACCCAUCCGAACAGAAGUUUAUAACCGUUGCAAUAUUGUGAGUGAUCCCCCUAAAUUCUAUAUAUUACUGAUUUGUUUUUGUUAUAUUUAGAAUAAAAACAUUGAUAAACCA
This is a long non-coding RNA of Pantherophis guttatus, 3348 nucleotides long. RefSeq lists it as uncharacterized. The record is from RefSeq and is a predicted model, not a curated record. Lineage: Eukaryota; Metazoa; Chordata; Lepidosauria; Squamata; Colubridae.